UACGUAGGGGGCAAGCGUUGUCCGGAUUCACUGGGCGUAAAGGGCACGUAGGCGGCUCGGCAAAUCGGUCGUGGAAUCUCGACGCUUACCGUCGAAACGGCGGCCGAAAAUACCGGGCUCGAGGGCGUGAGGGGUCACUGGAACUCCUGGUGAAGCGGUGAAAUGCGUAGAUAUCAGGAGGAACGCCGGAGGCGAAAGCGAGUGACUGGCGCGUUCCUGACGCUGAGGUGCGAAAGCUAGGGGAGCAAACAGG
RNAcentral lists this ribosomal RNA (253 nucleotides) under uncultured bacterium. RNAcentral describes it as "partial 16S ribosomal RNA". It matches the Rfam family "Bacterial small subunit ribosomal RNA", at positions 524 to 776 of the family's 1533-position model. The record is from RNAcentral.